This 514-nucleotide ribosomal RNA is filed under the name Sericoderus sp. CO953. Its description in RNAcentral is "partial 16S ribosomal RNA". The stretch from base 388 to 514 matches the Rfam family "Archaeal large subunit ribosomal RNA", at positions 2544 to 2671 of the family's 2987-position model. The record is from RNAcentral. Lineage: Eukaryota; Metazoa; Arthropoda; Insecta; Coleoptera; Corylophidae.
GUCUUUUUGAAUUUUAAUUUAAAGUCUAACCUGCUCAAUGAAUAUUUUUAAAUAGCUGCGGUAUUUUGACCGUACAAAGGUAGCAUAAUCAAUAGUUUUUUAAUUAAAAACUGGAAUGAAAGGUUGAAUAAGAAAAUUACUGUCUCAAUUUAAUUUAAAUUAAAAUUUUAUUUUUAAGUUAAAAAGCUUAAAUGAAAUUUAUAGACGAGAAGACCCUAUAGAGUUUAAUUAUUAAUUUAAUAAAAAUAAAGAGAAUUUAAUAAUUUAAAUUAAAUUAAUAAUUUUAUUGGGGUGAUAAAAAAAUUAAAAUAACUUUUUUUAUUUUAAAACAAAAAUUAUUGAUUUAUUGAUCCAUUUACUAUGAUUAUAAGAUUAAAUUACCUUAGGGAUAACAGCGUAAUUUUUUUUUAGAGUUCAAAUCGAAAAAAAAGAUUGCGACCUCGAUGUUGGAUUAAAAUUAAUUUUUGGUGUAGAAGCUAAAAUAUUAGGUCWGUUCGACCUUUAAAAUUUUACA